This 435-nucleotide ribosomal RNA is filed under the name uncultured bacterium. Its description in RNAcentral is "bacterial SSU rRNA". It matches the Rfam family "Bacterial small subunit ribosomal RNA", at positions 958 to 1392 of the family's 1533-position model. The record is from RNAcentral.
AACGCGAAGAACCUUACCUACACUUGACAUGCCUCUUGGGACUUUCAGAGAUGAUUGUCUUCGGUUCGGCCGGGGAGUGCACAGGUGCUGCAUGGCUGUCGUCAGCUCGUGUCGUGAGAUGUUGGGUUAAGUCCCGCAACGAGCGCAACCCUUAUCGUAUGUUGCCAGCAUUUAGUUGGGCACUCAUGCGAGACUGCCGGUGAUAAGCCGGAGGAAGGCGGGGACGACGUCAAGUCAUCAUGGCCCUUACGUGUAGGGCUACAAACGUGCUACAAUGGUGGUGACAAUGGGCAGCGAGGCUGUGAGGCCAAGCUAAUCCCUAAAAGCCAUCUCAGUUCAGAUUGUAGUCUGCAACUCGACUACAUGAAGUGGAAUCGCUAGUAAUCGUGAAUCAGCAUGUCACGGUGAAUACGUUCCCGGGUCUUGUACACACCG